This 494-nucleotide ribosomal RNA is filed under the name uncultured bacterium. Its description in RNAcentral is "partial 16S ribosomal RNA". It matches the Rfam family "Bacterial small subunit ribosomal RNA", at positions 29 to 505 of the family's 1533-position model. The record is from RNAcentral.
AUGAACGCUGGCGGCGUGCCUAAUACAUGCAAGUCGAGCGAACAGACGAGGAGCUUGCUCCUCUGACGUUAGCGGCGGACGGGUGAGUAACACGUGGAUAACCUACCUAUAAGACUGGGAUAACUUCGGGAAACCGGAGCUAAUACCGGAUAAUAUAUUGAACCGCAUGGUUCAAUAGUGAAAGACGGUUUUGCUGUCACUUAUAGAUGGAUCCGCGCCGCAUUAGCUAGUUGGUAAGGUAACGGCUUACCAAGGCAACGAUGCGUAGCCGACCUGAGAGGGUGAUCGGCCACACUGGAACUGAGACACGGUCCAGACUCCUACGGGAGGCAGCAGUAGGGAAUCUUCCGCAAUGGGCGAAAGCUUGACGGAGCAACGCCGCGUGAGUGAUGAAGGUCUUCGGAUCGUAAAACUCUGUUAUUAGGGAAGAACAAAUGUGUAAGUAACUAUGCACGUCUUGACGGUACCUAAUCAGAAAGCCACGGCUAACUACG